CAGGAAUCUUCUUCUCCUAUCUCGAUCUAUGCCCGAGCCCAACCGAUCCCCUGUCUUCUCCACCGGCCUCCCCGUGCUCUCAACCUUCCGGGGGCGCGCUCAACUUUGCCUGGCCGAGAAGCUUGAGUUCCGCCAAGCCCUAGCCCCUCGCCUCUCCUCGCCACCGCCGGAAACUGCCAUGGUGGUUGCGCCUCGCCCCCCUCUCCAUCCAUAGCAAAGGAGGCAGGGGAAGGUCUGGUUUGCGCCACCUAUGGAGAGGCGGUGGUGCGAGGCAUGGAGCACAACGAAGAAGUCGAGGAUCCUAUGCGCGAUGGACGGAACCGGAAUCGGGGUUCCGGCCUGCAGCGGGCGGUCCUUGCCGGUGCUGCGUGGACUGCAUCCUACCGGCGCGUACUUGCAUCAUCACGCCGCUCAGAUCGGGCGGCGGCAGCUUUUGGGAUCAGCUCCGGCGGACGCUAGCUGCUCUUCGUCUGGCCGCUAGGAGGUGCAAGGAGGUUGGGGCGGAGGCCCCGGAGUUGAUCUAUUUGGAUGUGAUGGUAAGGGGACCUGCACAUUGAUCUACUUGUGGACCCGUGUGGCGGCAUGGUCGGUUAGGUGGUCGUCUUCGUGGUGGUGGACGGAUCUCCUCCCUGCCAAAUCUCUCUGUCGAACUAUUCUGAGCUCUCCCCUAACCGAGCUCUCCGUGGUUGCCGGCCGCCGGCCUAGCUCCGGCGCCGUCGCCGGUUGGUCGUCUCCGCGUGCUCGGCCUGCCUAUCGUGCGUGCUGCCCCAGCCGACGCCCUGCGCGGGUAGGUGGAGAUGAGCCGUAGUUGUGGGCUGUUCCACCGGUCAUCAAGCCCAGCACCGUCGUGCAGCCGACCGCCGGCUUGGUUUGUGUUCUUUCAGUACGUUUUAACCUUUUCCCGAUCUUCGAUUCGGCUUUACUUGCUUACGCCCAUGGUCAGUGGUCUUGCCUAUGUUGCAACUGGAUGUGCUCUUUUUCAGUUGACGAGAUCCAAGGAAGGCCGCUGGUUUGGAGUGAAGGACUGAAGGCUGAUGCGCCAUGUCCGUCCGGCCGAGGACCUCCUCCUUGCAGAUGCAGCUGGAGGGCACGCCCAGAGCAUGUACCACCCCAGCUGCACCCAAUCGUGUGUCUCAUCAUUGGAGCAGCAGUGUGAGUUUAUUUUGCCAAAAUCAUCUUUCUGGAUUUGUCUUUUUGUGCAUCCGUUAGUUGUUUCCUUUCUACAUUUUGCUCCCUCAACUUAACCUUAAACUCUAUUUUUGUUACUGUUUUAAUCACUUAUUUGAUGGUUCAGUAAGCUGGUCCAAUCUCGUGAAAGCAACUAGCAGAAAAUUAAUAUGUGAAGACAUCAUGAAAUGAAGGAAGAGCCAGCCUAGGGAAAUUGCAAUGUUCAUAUAUCAUGUAAGUAUAUAAUUGUUGAACCUCCAGAUAUUUUUAGUUGUUCAUUUAUGUUUCAUGAGCAUUGGUUUUUGUGCAUUCAGUGUGUCGGUACCUCUGAAUUUUUUGAUAUAUUUAGUUAUUUAAUGAUAAAAAUUAGAUGGCAUCCAAAAGUUCCUUUAAGAUCAAGAUCAUUGCACGAAAAGAGCUGCUACAAUAUUUUACUUUGGUGGUGGAUUUACUGCAUUUGAAUUGUGAAUAACAUCCAAUUAGUAAUUAUAUUGGAACAUUAGUGUUCUACUGUUCUCUCUAUCCUUGCUUCCAUUAUUCCUGUUUUAGCAUCUCAGCUAAAUGUUCAAUGGGCAAACAUAUACUUCUAACUGCAUUUAUUUGACAGCUUGGUUUUGCAAUCAGAUCAAAAUAUAGAUUUGACCGUAUAAUAUCUAGAAAUAAAGUAGUUUGCCCAUAGGUAUUCCAUUUUUUGUCUGUAGCACCAAUAAUGUGUUGCUUUUCUCAUGGUAUUAUAGUCAAUACAACUGAAUUUCAUGUUUUGUCUUUUGCUUGGAGAAAUCCUCUUACUUUCAAUUUUCGUGAGACACUGAUGCAAUUAAUUAUUUUGUGGUACCAAAGGAUAAUCUGAAGAUUCUUGAAUUGUUACGCAUUUCUCUCUCUUGCAGUUCCAUUUAUACAAGUAACAUCACAGAAGAGUAAUCAUACACUUUUUUGCAGGGCGGCAAAGAUGAAUGCUUUGUAUGUGUCAUUCAUAUGUAAUUAGUAGGUUUCUUUCGGAAUAUUAGUGGUUCUCCAUAUCCUUGCUUGCGUUAUUCCUGUUUUAGCAUCUCAGCUAAAUGUUCAAUGGGCAAACAUAUGCUUCAAAUUCCUUUUUAUUUGACAGCUUGGUUUUACACUGAGGUAAAAAAACUCAAAAUAUAGAUUUGACCAUAUAAUAUCUAGAAAUAAAUAGGUAUUCCAGUUUUUGUCCAAGGUGCAGCGUUGUUCGUAGCACCAUUAAUGUGUUGAUUCUCUCAUGGUAUUUUAGUUAAUAUAAAUGAAUGCCAUGUUUUGUCUUUUCUUUUGAGAAAUCCUCUUACUUUCAAUUCCCCUGAGACACUGAUGCAAUAUAUUAUUUUGUGACAGCAUGGCUAUGUGCCAUAGAUUCCUUGAAAUAGAACACACUAAGAACUAUAUUUGUGUCCUUUGGUUCCGAUUAGUUUUAUCUUUGCUCUACAAGUAGUUCCGCUCAGAAGUUGUCUGGUUCUUUUUUGGUACAGACCUUUACAUUUCAGCCCAAUUACUUAUAAAUUUACCAUGAGUUGGUCGCACUAGAAGUACACAUCAGCCAGCACCAGCCAUUACUUGCUUCACGAAAACAAUUGCACAUAUUUCAGUAUAUCUUUUCAUUGUUAUUUUAUCACUGGAACUUAACAUUGCAGCCUGACUUCUGGAAUUUUGCUUAGAAUAAACCUUGAAACGGAAAAAAGUGAUACUAAUUCAACUAUGCGAAAGGAUACUACUUUUUUUUUAUAGUUAUAAUGUUUCAUUAGAUGUGUUAAUGUAAGCAUCCCUUUGAAUCUACGGUAUGUGAUUCUUAAGUUUAUUUUUAAUUAGUACGGCGGACUUUGCAAUGCAUUGUUUGAUUGUUGAUAGUUUUUAGUGUCCACUGAACACAAAUGAAGCAUGAACCAUUCCUUACAUAUAUAUACCUCCUGCUGUGGCAUUGCUACCAAACUCUGAUCACUUGUCUACUGUAGUUGAUGCAGUUUAUGAUUUAUUUUCAGAAAAUUAUUUGGAAUCUUCCUAUUUAGCACAAGGUGCUAUGGUUUGACCUAAUAAUAAUGCACCAGACGCAAUGAAUGACUAUGGUUUUUUCUAGGGUCCUUGGGUUGCAAGGGAAUUUGAUAGUUGUGACACUAUCUUGUGGUGGCGUAGGUUUAUUGUACCCUCUGAAAUUCAUGUACUGCUGAACUUGGUAAUUUCCCACACCAGAAGAUCUCUUUGAAGGUUGGUGUCCCUAUAAUGUUAUUGAAUAAAACAAUCAGUGUACAGGGUUGUGCAACGGAACCUCUCUCAUAUUUACAGGGUUAAGGCUAGACACUGGACACGGUAGGUGUUUAUUUAUCCAAACCUGUAUUUUCCCAUGAAGAGUCUUGAGAGUCACAGUGGAGAAAAAGAUUGUAAAUACUUGCACUAGACGACAGUGGUGUUGCAACUACUGAAACUACAAUUAUCUUAGACCAGGGGGUACUGGAGCAUCUGUAAGAGUAUGCACCUCAGAUCAUAUCAUGGUUGCAGAAAACACCUCAAUCUCAGCUCCAGAUUAUAAGUUGUUCUGAAAGAGAGAAGUAACGGAGUAUCCAAACCGAUCAAACAGACAUUCUGCAUCGAGCUGGUGCCCUAAAUUUCUCAAUAUUAUCGUAUACUCAUGAAUGGAGAGUACACCAGCAAAUUGCCCAAUAUCCUCCAUGAAGACAACAAGUCCACAACUCUUGCAGUAAGAGAAAAAAAAAGGAGUAGGACACUUGCGUCCUUUUGGAGGAAGAGGAAAACGUACAAUUGAGGUCUCCAAGACCCAGAACAGCAACACACCAGUCCUAGAGAGCUUUAGUCAGUAAAAUUGCACCGUAUUUUUAUAUAAAAUAGAACCUGCUAGCUUCAGUGUGCUGCUUAGGUAACAUGUAUUUUUAUAUUAAAUAGAACCUGCUAUCUUCAAUGUGCUUCUUAGGUAACAUAGACCAGUAAAUAAACUAUGUAAUACCGAUUAUUUAGUAGUGCAUGCACUGUUUAUGUCACAUAAUUUCAUGGGCUAUGUAAUUACUUAUUGCAAAUUUGCAGUACUACAUAGCCUUUGUUCUUCUGUAUGGAUGCACCUACCAGGUCAAAUCAUUUAACAGUGGCUUCACAAAGUAUUUUUGAACA
This is a non-coding RNA of Lolium perenne, 4293 nucleotides long. NCBI's taxonomy places the organism in Eukaryota, Viridiplantae, Streptophyta, Magnoliopsida, Poales, Poaceae. The record is from RefSeq and is a predicted model, not a curated record.